UACGAAGGGGGCUAGCGUUGUUCGGAAUCACUGGGCGUAAAGGGCGCGUAGGCGGCUUUAUAAGUCGGGGGUGAAAGCCUGUGGCUCAACCACAGAAUUGCCUUCGAUACUGUAGAGCUUGAGACCGGAAGAGGUAAGUGGAACUGCGAGUGUAGAGGUGAAAUUCGUAGAUAUUCGCAAGAACACCAGUGGCGAAGUCGGCUUACUGGUCCGGUUCUGACGCUGAUGCGCGAAAGCGUGGGUAGCAAACAGG
This 253-nucleotide ribosomal RNA is filed under the name uncultured bacterium. RNAcentral describes it as "partial 16S ribosomal RNA". It matches the Rfam family "Bacterial small subunit ribosomal RNA", at positions 524 to 776 of the family's 1533-position model. The record is from RNAcentral.